RNAcentral lists this long non-coding RNA (3695 nucleotides) under Glycine max (soybean). Its description in RNAcentral is "long non-coding RNA (GMAX_LNC001692)". The record is from RNAcentral. Lineage: Eukaryota; Viridiplantae; Streptophyta; Magnoliopsida; Fabales; Fabaceae.
UAAAAGGCCCCUAAGCUGUUGUUUGUGAACCAUAUUGAAAUUCGUGAGAGCUUGAAAAUGUCUCCCAAAUACAUGCUAGUGUUGUUGAUAGCAUUGGUUUUGGCAGUCUCGUCCCUUUCCCAUGGUCCAGUACACGGUUCAGUACACCCAAGGCCUCAUCCUCCUCCAAAAAUUACUCGAUACUCCGCGCCACAUAUACAUAAACCAAAACCACCAAACGUGGCAACAACAAACACCUAUGCAGCAAAGAAGCCUCCAACUAAAGGUUGAACUGUUAGGCUAUGAUCAAAGGUUUUGCAACGUCAAGGGAGUAUAUUACAACAGUAAUCGCAAUUUGAAACCUUGACUAGAGAUACUUUAAUGGCAUAUAGUAUUAAUUAAUGGUCAGUGCUAUGAGUAUGCAUGUAUGAUUAAAUAAUAGUUAGUUAGGAGUUUGUUUGAACUGUUGUAAUACCUUGUUAUGAGAGUCUCCAUCUGUGUGUUUUGAUUUCCACUUAUAUGCAUAGUUUGAUGUGUUCACGAUGUGCUCUCUCUUUUGUUUAUGUUUGUACAACAUUCUAAAGGCCACAAGAUAAGACAUGAGAGUUAAAUUGUUAAAUAAAAUUAAACAAGAUCGUGAUAAGAUAAUAAUAUGAUAAAUUCUUAAACUAUUCAACUUUAGAUACUAGAAUUUAGGUUUAAUUUGGGUCGAACCUAGCUUCAUAAAACUGGCUUAAAACUAUUAAGAACAUAUUAGAAUUUUUAAUAUCCGUCUCUAACAUAUUAGGAUAUUUAAUUUCCUAUAAUUGAUAACCAGAGACGGACUUAGAGACGGAUUUGUGACAUCAUCUGAAUGAAUUUUUUGGUUUCUAGCUUCCGUCUCUGAAAACGUUAGAUAAGGACAGACACGGAAAUAUAGAUGUUUUGUUUCCAUCUCUAAGUUCCGUCUUUAUAUCAAACUUUUCUAGUUGUUAACCCAUACCAAUAAUCUUUUUUGAAUUUCUUCAUGAGAAAGACUCGUGUGUUUUUUUUGCUUUAUCAAUUCUAUUUUCUAAAUUCCCAAAACAAGUCUUGUUCAACCACUUCAAAUUUUGUUUGAGAAUUUUAAGUUUUUCUUUGAGCACAUGUACUCUAGCUUGAAAUCUGCAACUUUUUCUAUUUAGUUUCCAUAACCUUUACAAAAACUUUACUUAUAAAAACUAUAUAUUAGUAAUCUUGAAUCUAAGAGACUUAAAGUUUGUUUCUUAAUAAUUUCUUAUCAUUGAAAUUUUUACGUAUAAAGGACCUAACUAUUGAGGGACCAAAAACCAGAUUCCAUAUAAGUUACAGCAUUUUUUGUGAGGGGUCGAUAUAAGUCACCCAAUUAACAUCGUGCAAAAAGACGCUAAUAGAAGGGUUAUAUGUCGUUUCCAUAAGUUAGAAACACAUUUUUAUUAGAAAAUUUCUGACAAUAAAUGUUAUAUGUUGUUUAUGGUACAUUUUACAGAGAGGAGUGUCCUAGGGGACAGGGAAAAAAGGUGGAACCAUGAAAAUUCAUUUUCACGCCCAAAUUAAUUAUCCAAGCACAAGUUAGUAUUAUUCAAAUUCCAAAAUAAUUAAUUGCAAUAGCUAUUAACAGUACACCAACAUGAAGCUGACAAAUUGGUUUUGAGGAUGCACCCUGAACUUAUUGCAUGUCUUCCUAUUGCGGCAUGGUAAUGAAAACUGGGCGCGGUUGAUAGAUAAGAACAAAGAAGUUAUUGGAAGGGCUGAUACGUGUUAUGGUUACAACACAGAUGGAGGAAAUACCCACAUGCAUGCAGGCAUCCUGGUUAUGCAUUUGAACUCAAGGAAGGUUACGUCAAUUUAAACCUCGAAAACAAUCGAGUUAUGACCCAUUCUUGGAUGGGAAUUCAAUGAAAGGUGUUGAUUUUGCACGUGGGGGGAUGAGUUUUACUUGGUAAACAACACCCAUCACAAACGUAACCUCCACUCUGAUUUCACCACUUCCAUGUUUGAUUUAUUAAAUAAGUGUUUGUACUUUAGUAUCCAUGUAUUUUUAUAAUGUUUAACUUAAUUUGUCACAUAAUAAGUAAAAGCUAUAGAUAUGCAAUUAGGAACUUUUAAAACCAAAUCAAAACAGUUUGUAAAUCGUAAAAUCCAUUAAAAAAAUAAAAAAUCAUAAAAAUAUAAAAUAUAAAAAAAAAUCGUAUCUUUUUUUUGGUUUGGUUAGUUUUUUAAUUUUGUUAAAAAAAAUAAACUAAAUCGGACAAAUCCACGAUAAAUAUUGAAUAAUCUUUUCAUUUGUUUUAUAAUUAAGAUAUAUAGAAAAUAGUAAUUUUUAACUUAAAAAUGUUAAAAAUAAAUAAAAUUUAUUUUAAAAGUAAUAUAAGAUAAUAAUGAUAUAACUUUAAUUGAAAAACUUUAAUUUAUGAUAAUGAAUUAAAAAAUAAAAAAACUGUAAAACCAAAUUAAAUCAAAUGAUAAAAAAUUAAUUUGAUUUGAUUUAGAUUUAAUAUAAUAUUUAAAUUGAAUCACAUUUUUAUUUUAUAUUUAAUUUAGAUGACUAUUUAUUUAAAAAAAAAAAACAAACAAACAAACAAAUUAAACCAUCCGACAAAGACUCACAUUUACAUAACCGCUUACCUGUAAAUGCCGUAUGCAAAUGCAGGGAUCCGUGGAUGUGGAUAAUUAUUGCAGCGAUAGGCGCUGUCAGCAUGAUAUGUGCUUUGGUUCUAUUUCUGGCCUUGAAGAAAAAGAAAACAUUUGUUUGAAGGCUAGCUGUGUCUUUGUAAUAAGCCUUGUUCUAGAGAAAGUCUUGCCUAGGCACUAGGCUCAAAUUGACGUGGUAGUCACAGCCAAUAAAAGGUUAUUGGUUGAUAAAUUAAAAUAAAGUAACAAAAGCUGCAUUUUUUUUCACUCUGGAAUUUGAUAUGCUUCCUUCUCCCUCUCUUCUGGGUUACUGAGCAAGGGUGAGGGACUGCAAAUUGACUAAACACGAAUUGGUGGGCUUCCCAUGCGGCAUAUGCUACACAUUUUGUAUGGAAUUUUCAAGAAGGGGUAUGUUGUUGAUGUCCCAACAUCACCAUUGGCAAGGACUUCAUAUCAGUACCAUUGAGAUUUUUCAUGGCAUACUUAUAUUUAUAACAUUUUCAUCAAGAAAGCCCCCAAUCCUAGCUCUACCAAAACCAAAGGACACAAAUUUCUAUUCUAACACUAUGAUAUGACAACAUUUUUGUAUUACCUUCUAUACUACUCAUUCCCUCUUCACAAAUCAUCUUGGCAAAAUGAACCAACAAAAAGAAAUUCAUUUAAAAACAGUUUAGGAAGACCAAAUUGUUCAGUAUGUCCAGAAAAGGAAUGAAAAAUUUCAGAUCAGGUGAAGAUCCACACCAAGGGAAAUCGCUGGUAGUAAUCCGCGUGAAACUUGAAAAGGGUUAGGGAGAAGAAAAGCAAUCCAGAGAUAAGAAGUGCAGCUUUUGUUAUUUUAUGUUAAUUUAUUAAUUAAUGAUAAUUUUUAAAGUAUUUUAAUACGCUGGCAAACUUUCAUUGGCUGUGCUACCUCGUAAGUUUUAGGACAGUGUAUAGGCAAGACUUUCUCUGUUGAGCUCACAAUUUUAUUAGAUGGAACUUAAUUUUUAUUUCUAGGCCAAUUUACUUAUUCUUUAUUUAAAAGUAAUAAAGAUAGUCUAUUCAAAUUAUUCAAAUAUUGUUGGUUAUGAUUUAAUAUUUUAAUG